This 69-nucleotide transfer RNA is filed under the name Rattus norvegicus (Norway rat). It matches the Rfam family "tRNA". From Rfam's summary of the family: Transfer RNA (tRNA) molecules are approximately 80 nucleotides in length. Their secondary structure includes four short double-helical elements and three loops (D, anti-codon, and T loops). The record is from Rfam by way of RNAcentral. Lineage: Eukaryota; Metazoa; Chordata; Mammalia; Rodentia; Muridae.
GGUGAUUUGGCUCAGUGGUAGAGCGCUUGCCUAGCAAGCACAAGGCCCUGGGUUCGGUUCCCAGCUCCA